This 491-nucleotide ribosomal RNA is filed under the name uncultured bacterium. RNAcentral describes it as "partial 16S ribosomal RNA". It matches the Rfam family "Bacterial small subunit ribosomal RNA", at positions 29 to 507 of the family's 1533-position model. The record is from RNAcentral.
GUGAACGCUGGCGGUAGGCCUAACACAUGCAAGUCGAACGGCAGCACAGUAAUAGCUUGCUCUUACGGGUGGCGAGUGGCGGACGGGUGAGGAAUACAUCGGAAUCUACUUUUUCGUGGGGGAUAACGUAGGGAAACUUACGCUAAUACCGCAUACGACCUACGGGUGAAAGCAGAGGAUCUUCGGACCUUGCGCGAUUGAAUGAGCCGAUGUCGGAUUAGCUAGUUGGCGGGGUAAAGGCCCACCAAGGCGACGAGCCGUAGCUGGUCUGAGAGGAGGAUCAGCCAAACUGGAACUGAGACACGGUCCAGACUCCUACGGGAGGCAGCAGUGGGGAAUAUUGGACAAUGGGCGCAAGCCUGAUCCAGCCAUACCGCGUGGGUGAAGAAGGCCUUCGGGUUGUAAAGCCCUUUUGUUGGGAAAGAAAAGCAGCAGGUUAAUACCCCGCUGUUCUGACGGUACCCAAAGAAUAAGCACCGGCUAACUUCGUG